GUUCAAAAUGAUGUGAUCGUCCAGAGAUUACCCAUAAACUGCCCCAGAUGUGAGAAAAGCUUCCACACUGAAUUACAGCUCUGACUACACAACUGCCUACGAUGUCUGCUGAGCUCCUCUCUGUGAGUGAUCCAGGUGGGAAUAAUAGAAAUCCUCAAGGUGCCUCAGUGGGGGGCACAAAACCUUUACACCACUUCUUAAAGGGACAACCCAAAAUUAUUGGCACAAUUGUGCUGAUCUUGGGUGCAUCCUUCUUUAUCAUAUCCGUUGCGAUCACGGAAGUCUCCCACAUGCAUAUAUGGACAGUCAUCCCACCAGGCUUCCUGCUGGGGACACUGUUAAUCAUAUGUGGAAUUACAUACAUUUUGGCAGAACACAACACCACCAAGAAAACAUUUUUCACAGAACUGCAUAGACUCCAGUGGAAACUUUUUUUUUCACAUGACUGUGUAUCACCCCCAUCUUUGUCUGUUGGUGUCUGCAGGUAACCAUUUCGUUAUCUCUGAGCAUUGUCUCCAUACUGGUCGCAUGCUGGACUUUAAUACACAUCCUGCCUGACAUAGAAGCAUAUUCCUACCACCUAGAUUACAUUUAUGAUAAUGGAAACUUUUCAUUUACUGAACCAAUGGAAAAUUACCAGCACAUGGGAUUGGCUUUGGAAGCAAUUUUGGUGUUCUACACUUUUGUUGUAGCGAUUAUUUUCAUUGUAAUGUCAGCUCUGGCUGGCAUUGCCCUGCGAUCCACAAAAACCCAGGCCAUUGUAGUGAUGACUACUGCAUCGCCUGAUUCGUCAGUUGAAUAGCAAGCACAAGAGGACUGUCUGAAGUGUGAAAAAUUAAGAGAAGAAAUAUAUAUACUGUAUAAACAAACCCUUUAGUUUUAGUUUGCUAAAGGGGCAGACUCAGUACAUCGUUUUGAAAUUGCAUGGUGUAUGGCCUAACAUAAACUGGAUAAAUCAAUAAGGAACAAAUUAAUAUUCUGUUUCAUACAAGUAUGGUUCAUAUUCCAUGUCACAUGCUAAUAUUAUCCUUAAUAAAUCAAAUUUAUUUACAAAUUUAUUUACUGGUCCAAUUUACCUUAAUUAAUUAGAUACUGCCAUUUAAUUCUGUUGGGGCACCUCCUCAGCUGAGUUUUAGCAGAUAUUCUGAUGGUUCCGUAUGAAAUUAAUACAAUUAACUAAUUGCAUUAUUGCAUGUGUUGCACCUUUUUUCAUAUUUCCCUACUAAUUUCAUUUGUUUGUAAUGUGUGCUGAUAUAUGUGUGUUUGUAUGUUAGUAAAGAAACAGAAAGGAGAUAGAAAGGAUGUUUGCAAGAAAGACACACACAAAUAUUUUUAAGGUAUCGUAACAUUUUUCAUGAAACCUUUUAAUGCAGUUAAUGUGCAAUGUUACAUUCUUAUAAUAUUAAAGUUAAAUGAUCUCAAAAUUAAUUACAUCUGUUUUUAUCAGAAAUGUUUCUCUUUGUCUCACUUUGCAGUUUGACUGUUCCAGUGUUCUUAGAUCAUCUGGUUGAUUUUACCUGGAGACUGCUCAUCUCACAGCUAAUGUUUCAAAGCCAUAGAGCCCAAACUAUUACAUUAGUAUAACAAAAAAAAUAUUAACAGCAGUCCUUAUUAAUCAUAAGUACACAAUUAAAUGUCCUACAUAGUUUUUUUUGUAGCAUCACAAGUUAAUAACCCACCUUUUUUAAAAAAAUUCAAAUUGGCGGGAACUUCAGAACAUGAAAACACAAUCUUAGGAACUUAAAGCACCUCUGAUAAAUUGCAUUGCCCUUUUAUUUAUAUAUGUAUUUACCUAUCAAAGGUACCAAUAGUUCAUACCAGGUGUAAGAUACCAAAUAAUAUGACCCUUUUUCACCCUACUGUCCCUAACAGAAAUAUUUUGGAAUAGACCAGACAGAACAUGCACAGAAUCUCAUAGCUGCCCUUGACUCAUGUUUCACACCACUGGCACAAACACUGUGACACCCAACAAGCUGUCCUCUCUUACAGGGAACACUAUGUGAGACAUAUAACUAAUACAUGUGUAAAAAAGAGAGAUUCAGAAUCACAACACUAAAUGGAAUGAAGUCAACAUUAUGGCAAAGACUUAGUAGACUACUUACUGGCUGAACAUGCAAAGUUAAUAAGAGCAUAGAAUAUUUCUGUGUCUCCCUCUCUGCAUUAGGCUAGACAGCUCUGGUACCUGUGGAAGUGAAAAGCCAUGAAAGCAACUUUGGAAUAUAAUGUACCAGCCAGAUAGUUGACAUGGUAAUAUCUUUAAAUUAAAUCUCACACACACAGAGGAAAUGUCAUGGUUCUGGCUACCUGGUGAAUGUGAAGUCAUUAUUGAGUUUUACUCGGUUUGGUCUCUAAUAAAGUCAAUCUGUUUAGAUCUGCUUGCUUUUAUGUUGCUUUUAUUCUACUGUGUACAGUGACCUUGAGUGGUUUGAAAGGCGCUUUCAAAUAAAAUGUAUUAUUAUCAUUA
This is an RNA transcript of Oreochromis aureus, 2464 nucleotides long. It is a transcript of the gene named membrane-spanning 4-domains subfamily A member 15-like, with no coding region annotated. The transcript has 7 exons. The record is from RefSeq and is a predicted model, not a curated record. NCBI's taxonomy places the organism in Eukaryota, Metazoa, Chordata, Actinopteri, Cichliformes, Cichlidae.